RNAcentral lists this ribosomal RNA (488 nucleotides) under Rhyacophila balcanica. RNAcentral describes it as "partial 16S ribosomal RNA". It matches the Rfam family "Bacterial large subunit ribosomal RNA", at positions 1825 to 2597 of the family's 2925-position model. Lineage: Eukaryota; Metazoa; Arthropoda; Insecta; Trichoptera; Rhyacophilidae. The record is from RNAcentral.
GUCUUUUUGAUUAAUAAUUUAAAGUCUGAUCUGCCCACUGAAUUAUUUUAAAGGGCUGCAGUAUUUUGACUGUGCAAAGGUAGCAUAAUAAAUAGUCUUUUAAUUGAAGACUGGAAUGAAUGAUUGGACGAAAUAAAAACUGUCUCAAAUUAAUUAUAUAGAAUUUAAUUUUUAAGUUAAAAAGCUUAAAUUUUUAUAAAAGACGAGAAGACCCUAUAGAUCUUUAUAUUUAUUUAUAUUAAUAAAUAUAAAUAAUUAUUUAAUUGGGGUGAUUUAAAAAUUAAGAAAACUUUUUAUUUUAAUAAACAAAAAUUUUUGAUUAAUUGAUCCUAUAUUAUAGAUUAAUAGAUUAAGUUACCUUAGGGAUAACAGCGUAAUUUAAUUUUUAAGUUCUUAUUGAAAAUUAAGAUUGCGACCUCGAUGUUGGAUUAAAAUUAAUUUUGGGUGCAGAAAUUCAAAAUUUAAGUCUGUUCGACUUAUAGUUUUUU